This 834-nucleotide ribosomal RNA is filed under the name Leuconostoc mesenteroides. RNAcentral describes it as "bacterial SSU rRNA". It matches the Rfam family "Bacterial small subunit ribosomal RNA", at positions 64 to 885 of the family's 1533-position model. The record is from RNAcentral. Lineage: Bacteria; Bacillati; Bacillota; Bacilli; Lactobacillales; Lactobacillaceae.
GCACAGCGAAAGGUGCUUGCACCUUUCAAGUGAGUGGCGAACGGGUGAGUAACACGUGGACAACCUGCCUCAAGGCUGGGGAUAACAUUUGGAAACAGAUGCUAAUACCGAAUAAAACUUAGUGUCGCAUGACACAAAGUUAAAAGGCGCUUCGGCGUCACCUAGAGAUGGAUCCGCGGUGCAUUAGUUAGUUGGUGGGGUAAAGGCCUACCAAGACAAUGAUGCAUAGCCGAGUUGAGAGACUGAUCGGCCACAUUGGGACUGAGACACGGCCCAAACUCCUACGGGAGGCUGCAGUAGGGAAUCUUCCACAAUGGGCGAAAGCCUGAUGGAGCAACGCCGCGUGUGUGAUGAAGGCUUUCGGGUCGUAAAGCACUGUUGUAUGGGAAGAACAGCUAGAAUAGGAAAUGAUUUUAGUUUGACGGUACCAUACCAGAAAGGGACGGCUAAAUACGUGCCAGCAGCCGCGGUAAUACGUAUGUCCCGAGCGUUAUCCGGAUUUAUUGGGCGUAAAGCGAGCGCAGACGGUUUAUUAAGUCUGAUGUGAAAGCCCGGAGCUCAACUCCGGAAUGGCAUUGGAAACUGGUUAACUUGAGUGCAGUAGAGGUAAGUGGAACUCCAUGUGUAGCGGUGGAAUGCGUAGAUAUAUGGAAGAACACCAGUGGCGAAAGCGGCUUACUGGACUGCAACUGACGUUGAGGCUCGAAAGUGUGGGUAGCAAACAGGAUUAGAUACCCUGGUAGUCCACACCGUAACGAUGAACACUAUGUGUUAGGAGGUUUCCGCCUCUUAGUGCCGAAGCUAACGCAUUAGUGUUCCGCCUGGGGAGUACGA